RNAcentral lists this ribosomal RNA (492 nucleotides) under uncultured bacterium. RNAcentral's name for it is "partial 16S ribosomal RNA". It matches the Rfam family "Bacterial small subunit ribosomal RNA", at positions 29 to 507 of the family's 1533-position model. The record is from RNAcentral.
AUUGAACGCUGGCGGCAUGCUUUACACAUGCAAGUCGGACGGUAACAGGCCUUCGGGUGCUGACGAGUGGCGCACGGGUGAGUAAUGCAUCGGAACGUACCCAGAGGUGGGGGAUAACGCAGCGAAAGCUGUGCUAAUACCGCAUGUGAUCUGAGGAUGAAAGCGGGGGACCGAGCAGCAAUGUUUGGCCUCGCGCCUUUGGAGCGGCCGAUGUCGGAUUAGCUAGUUGGUGGGGUAAAGGCCUACCAAGGCGACGAUCCGUAGCUGGUCUGAGAGGACGACCAGCCACCCUGGGACUGGGACACGGCCCAGACUCCUACGGGAGGGAGCAGUGGGGAAUUUUGGACAAUGGGGGGAAGCCUUAUCCAGCAAUGCCGCGGGCGGGAAGAAGGCCUUCGGGUUGGAAACCGCUUUUGGCAGGAACGAAACGGUGUCCGCUAAUACCGGGCGCUAAUGACGGUACCUGCAGAAUAAGCACCGGCUAACUACGUG